RNAcentral lists this ribosomal RNA (425 nucleotides) under uncultured bacterium. RNAcentral describes it as "partial 16S ribosomal RNA". It matches the Rfam family "Bacterial small subunit ribosomal RNA", at positions 354 to 796 of the family's 1533-position model. The record is from RNAcentral.
GUGGGGAAUCUUGCGCAAUGGGCGAAAGCCUGACGCAGCCAUGCCGCGUGAAUGAUGAAGGUCUUAGGAUUGUAAAAUUCUUUCACCGGGGACGAUAAUGACGGUACCCGGAGAAGAAGCCCCGGCUAACUUCGUGCCAGCAGCCGCGGUAAUACGAAGGGGGCUAGCGUUGCUCGGAAUUACUGGGCGUAAAGGGAGCGUAGGCGGAUAGUUCAGUCAGAGGUGAAAGCCCAGGGCUCAACCUUGGAAUUGCCUUUGAUACUGGCUGUCUUGAGUAUGGGAGAGGUUAGCGGAACUCCGAGUGUAGAGGUGAAAUUCGUAGAUAUUCGGAAGAACACCAGUGGCGAAAGCGGCUAACUGGCCCAUUACUGACGCUGAGGCUCGAAAGCGUGGGGAGCAAACAGGAUUAGAUACCCCGGUAGUCC